CGGAUUCUGGCUCAGGAUGAACGCUAGCGGCAGGCUUAACACAUGCAAGGUCGAGGGGCAUCGGGAGUAGCAAUACUUGCCGGCGACCGGCGCAAGGGUGCGUAACGCGUGAGCAACAUGCCCGUAUCAGGGGGAUAAUCCAUGGAAACGUGGUCUAAUACCCCAUAGUAAUUAUGUAAGGCAUCUUAUAUAAUUUAAAGCUUUGGUGGAUACGGAUUGGCUCGCGUGACAUUAGCUAGAUGGUAAGGUAACGGCUUACCAUGGCUACGAUGUCUAGGGGUUCUGAGAGGAAGGUCCCCCACACUGGAACUGAGACACGGUCCAGACUCCUACGGGAGGCAGCAGUGAGGAAUAUUGGACAAUGGAUGGAAAUCUGAUCCAGCCAUGCCGCGUGCAAGGAAGACGGCCCUAUGGGUUGUAAACUGCUUUUGUAUGGGAGCAAUAAGGGCUACGCGUAGUCCGAUGAGAGUACCAUACGAAUAAGCACCGGCUAACUCCGUGCCAGCAGCGGC
RNAcentral lists this ribosomal RNA (512 nucleotides) under uncultured bacterium. RNAcentral's name for it is "bacterial SSU rRNA". It matches the Rfam family "Bacterial small subunit ribosomal RNA", at positions 13 to 518 of the family's 1533-position model. The record is from RNAcentral.